RNAcentral lists this long non-coding RNA (3318 nucleotides) under Sus scrofa (pig). RNAcentral's name for it is "lncRNA (ENSSSCG00055003934.1)". Lineage: Eukaryota; Metazoa; Chordata; Mammalia; Artiodactyla; Suidae. The record is from RNAcentral.
UUUUUUUUUAAUUUUUUUUUUUUUUUUGUCUUUUUUUGUUGUUGUUGCUAUUUCUUGGGCCGCUCCCACGGCAUAUGGAGGUUCCCAGGCUAGGGGUUGAAUCGGUGCUGUAGCCACCGGCCUACGCCAGAGCCACAGCAACGCGGGAUCCGAGCCACGUCUGCAACCUACACCACAGCUCACGGCAACGCCGGAUCGUUAACCCACUGAGCAAGAGCAGGGACCAAACCCGCAACCUCAUGGUUCCUAGUCGGAUUCGUUAACCACUGCGCCACGACGGGAACUCCAAAUAUACAUUUUGAACAGAACUUAGAAGACAAUUUUUAGUAAUAUUUCUAAAUAUUCUCUUAUAAGGGAAGGGGAAAUAUCAAAACGUGAAUUAACUUCCUGAAAUCCUAUGUCUCAAAAAGGAUUUAACUGUAACUUUAAAGGUAGGAAAGACCUUACAAAAUAUCCAGUCUAUUCAUUGAAUAACUCAGGAAACAGAAGCUCAAAUUAAGUAACUUGACACAAAUGCAGAUUAGGAUCUUGACCCUAUGUCUUCCGACUUUAUACAAUCAUGUUCGGGAUUUUUUUCUUGUUUUUUUAAAAUGUUAUUUUUAAAUCCUUAGCCACAGAAUUUUGUUUGAAAAUAAAGUCAAAAAUAUGAAGGCCUUGUUUGCUUUUUUUAUAUCUAAUAUUCAACUUUAAGACAAAAAAUUAUUGUGGUAGUUGUUAAUUUUAUAGAUGAAAACAGUAAAAAAUGUUUAGGUUAAUUCAAGUUGGAAGGAAAAUGUUUUCUUUACCUUCUAUUCCUUAUUUGCUGGUGUUUUUUUUUAAGUCAUAAGACUAGAAAUUGGAGUUCCCUGGUGGCCUAGCAGUUCAGGAUUCUGCAUUGUCACUACUGUGGCUUGGGUUGAUUCCUGACCUGGGAACUUCUGCAUGCCACCCACUGCCAAAGAUAAAGAAAAACUUUAUGGGGAGUUGUCUGGUGGAUAAGAUUUGGCACUUUGACCACUGCAUCCCAGGUUCGAUCCCUGGUCUGGGAACUGAGAUCCCACAUCAAGCUACUGCAACCUGUGGCAAAAAAAAUAAUAAUAAUUAAAAAAAAAAUAAAACAAAAAAUUGACAUUCAGGAUAAGAAGAAUGUGUUUGUAUAGUAUAUCAUACUCCUGGUCUUAUUUCUUGCAAGGAGUAUCUCACCCCUUUCACUUGUCACCAAGCUAGGGGUCUAAUCGGAGCUGUAGCCACUGGCCUAUGCCAGAGCCACAGCAGCAAGGGAUCCGAGCCGUGUCUGCAACCUACACCACAGCUCACAGCAACGCUGAUCCUUGACCCACUGAGCAAGGCCAGGGAUCAAACCUGCAACCUCAUGGUUCCUAGUCGGAUUUGUUAACCACUGAGCCAUGACGGGAACUCCAAAUCUUUUUUCCAGCAAAUUUUUUUUUCCCAAAAUAACAAAGUAACAUACCAUAUUGGCUAGAAUUAAAUGGCAGCUUUUACAUGGAAAUAAUAUUGCCUUGGUGCUUUUUCAUCAACCUUUUAACCUGUUUUUUAUUUCAUCUCAACUAUUUCAUGAAAGACUGUAACAAAUAUAUGAUAAUAUUUGGUUCCACCAAAAAUAUUUCAGGAAGUAAUACAUGGAUACUUAGAAGUAUUAAGUAAAUAAAUGAAUUAAAAAGUUAGUCCAGCACUUUCCAGAACAACCUAAGAAUUAGAUUUCUAUUUUUUUUAUUUUCCUUAAUGUAUUUGAAGUCAUAUUUUAGAAAAUUAUAUUUAGUCUAAUCUGUCUUUUAAAUGACAGAAAACCUCCGUUUUGUAUUUACUAAGCAAAUCUUUAUAUUUAGUUGCUUCAGAUGUGAAAAAGGAUUAUUUGAGGCUAAAUAAAAACUUUUCUUGUUUUAAUCUCUGAGAAUGAAUUGGAAAAAAAUUGAAAUAUUGAGAGAGUAAGAAAAUGUAGAAAACAGUUGCAUUGAAAUUUAUUCUAAUAGUAUGUAGCAUCUUUCCAGUCUCUAAUAAGAGGAAAUAACCUAUCAGUACCUAAUGAAACACACAUCUAGGUAACUCAGCAGGACUUAAAAUUUUGUUAGAGUUAAUAUGCUUCCAUUUUUGUGUAAUUUUGAAACACAGAGAGCAAACAGUAAAAUAAAACUUACACGUUUAAUAAUGUCAGUCUUUUUUUUUUUCUUGCCACAGCAUGGAGCGGCCUGAUGUAGGAUCUCACUUCCCAGUCCAGGGAUUGAACCUAGGCCACAGCCAUGAAAGCACCAAGUCCUAACCUCUAGGCCACCAGGGAACUCCCUCUUUAAUGUGAAUCUUAAUAUGGCCAUUUAUUUUACAUAUUAAGUUUUCAUUUUUUCCACCUUCUUUGGAAAAAAUUGCUAAUCUUUUCAUUCAGGUUUAAAUUGAUGCCAGGUAAUUCCAGUAUUGAGCAUCUUAAAUCUCUUACUUGGAAUAUGGAUUGAGUUUGGCGCUAACUCAGAGGACUACAGGCAAGUAUUCAGGACAUAGCCAGAGGGAUAUUUUUAUAGUUGAACAAUUCAAUUUGUAUACUAUGUAGAUCUCUUAAGAUCACGUAUAUUUAUAUGUGAAAGUAGAUUUGAAAUUUUGGUUGUAGACUAAAUACCAUAUUUAACAGUAAAGAUUUUUUUUCUUCAAUCAUGUAUCCUUUUAAUUGUACAGAAUUAGAGGUACAUUUAGCCAUCAAGUAUCAUUAUUGAUAUGUGUCCAGGUUAGCCAUACUGGAUUAAUAAGAUUAUAUUUGAAUAAACUAUGAUCUCUCUAAGUUAAUAUAUUUAUUUGUUUAGAAGUUAAUAUUCUAAAUCAUUUUUUUUCCUUUUACAGGUGGAUAUUACUAUCCCUUAUUCAUGGAAAAAGUUUUAUUCUAAGUGUUGUGUCUCAUUGAGUAUUAGCAAAAAGGAGAAAUAUUAAUGCUUUUGAGAUAGAUUUGGCUCUAGUAAGUACUGAGAUGUAUUAUUUGCAUAUCUGGGAGAAGAAAUGAGAGACCAUCAUCAGUACAUUUCCAGCUAAAAUUCUAUAUUUUCUUGCAUCUCAUGAAGGGAUUCCUUAUAAUUUCUGUUUUAUUACUAAUAGCUUGAACCCCUUUAAUGGAGAAUUAAUUUCUCCACCAGAGUUUAAAAAUUUAUGUUCUUACCUUGUUUAUUUAUAAAAUAUAUCCCACAGAUUUCUGAUGUCUAUUUUUUAGGCUAUAUACAAGUAAGAAAUGUUGGCAAAAUAAAUAAGUUUAAACCUUUUAUAUUAAAAUUACUAUGCAGAGUGACAAGUUAGUUGCUGUUUUUUGUCUUUAUUAUACUGAAAUUAAAUUCAACAUUUGUAAUU